RNAcentral lists this ribosomal RNA (1148 nucleotides) under 'Acacia salicina' little leaf phytoplasma. RNAcentral describes it as "bacterial SSU rRNA". It matches the Rfam family "Bacterial small subunit ribosomal RNA", at positions 201 to 1350 of the family's 1533-position model. Lineage: Bacteria; Bacillati; Mycoplasmatota; Mollicutes; Acholeplasmatales; Acholeplasmataceae. The record is from RNAcentral.
ACCUAGUAAUAGGUAUGCUUUAGGAGGGGCUUGCGCCAUAUUAGUUAGUUGGUAGGGUAAUGGCCUACCAAGACGAUGAUGUGUAGCUGGACUGAGAGGUUGAACAGCCACAUUGGGACUGAGACACGGCCCAAACUCCUACGGGAGGCAGCAGUAGGGAAUUUUCGGCAAUGGAGGAAACUCUGACCGAGCAACGCCGCGUGAAUGACGAAGUACUUCGGUAUGUAAAGUUCUUUUAUCAAGGAAGAAAAGCAAAUGGCGAACCAUUUGUUUGCCGGUACUUGAUGAAUAAGCCCCGGCUAAUUAUGUGCCAGCAGCCGCGGUAAGACAUAAGGGGCAAGUGUUAUCCGGAAUUAUUGGGCGUAAAGGGUGCGUAGGCGGUCUAGUAAGUCAGUGGUGUAAUGGCAACGCUUAACGUUGUCCGGCUAUUGAAACUGCUAAACUUGAGUUAGAUAGAGGCGAGUGGAAUUCCAUGUGUAGCGGUAAAAUGCGUAAAUAUAUGGAGGAACACCAGAGGCGUAGGCGGCUCGCUGGGUCUUAACUGACGCUGAGGCACGAAAGCGUGGGGAGCAAACAGGAUUAGAUACCCUGGUAGUCCACGCCGUAAACGAUGAGUACUAAGUGUCGGGUUAAACCGGUACUGAAGUUAACACAUUAAGUACUCCGCCUGAGUAGUACGUACGCAAGUAUGAAACUUAAAGGAAUUGACGGGACUCCGCACAAGCGGUGGAUCAUGUUGUUUAAUUCGAAGAUACCCGAAAAACCUUACCAGGUCUUGACAUGUUUUUGCAAAAUGAUAGUAAUAUCGUGGAGGUUACCAGAAACACAGGUGGUGCAUGGUUGUCGUCAGCUCGUGUCGUGAGAUGUUAGGUUAAGUCCCUAAAACGAGCGAAACCCUUAUCGUUAGUUGCCAGCACGUUAUGGUGGGGACUUUAACGAGACUGCCAAUGAUAAAUUGGGAGGAAGGUGAGGAUCACGUCAAAUCAGCAUGGCCCCUUAUGACCCUGGGGCUACAAACGGUGAUACAAUGGCUGUUACAAAGGGUAGCUGAAACGCAAGUUCUUGGCCAAUCCCCAAAAACAGUCCCAGUCCGGAUUGAAGUCUGCAACUCGACUUCANGAAGUNGGAAUCGCUAGUAAUCGCGAAUC